UCUCCGUUGGUGAACCAGCGGAGGGAUCAUUACAGACUUGACACACCGUGUCGUGGCUCUGCCAACCCCCGCGAACCUUAUACAUGUACGUUGCCUCGGCGGGCCCCCGCCCGCCGCCGGCCCUUACGCAAACGCUCUGACUGGCUCGGCGCUCCAUCUGAACUACAAACUUUUAAACGAGUAAAAACUUUUGGCAACGGAUCUCUUGGCUCUG
RNAcentral lists this unclassified non-coding RNA (214 nucleotides) under soil metagenome. RNAcentral describes it as "partial contains small subunit ribosomal RNA, internal transcribed spacer 1, and 5.8S ribosomal RNA". The record is from RNAcentral.